Molecule: long non-coding RNA, 97 nt
Organism: Bufo bufo (common toad)
Lineage: Eukaryota; Metazoa; Chordata; Amphibia; Anura; Bufonidae
Exons: 3
Source: RefSeq, a predicted model, not a curated record
CGUUCUUGUGAUCGUUCGGAUGAGGGUACUUUCAGACUUGCGGCAGAUGAUUCCGGCAGGCAGUUCCGUUACCGGAACUGCCUGCUGGAUCCGGCAA